GAUGAACGCUAGCUACAGGCUUAACACAUGCAAGUCGAGGGGCAGCAGAUCGAAAGCUUGCUUUUAAUGCUGGCGACCGGCGCACGGGUGAGUAACGCGUAUCCAACCUUCCCUAUAGUAGAGGAUAGCCCGGCGAAAGUCGGAUUAAUACUCUAUGUUUUCCAAUGCAGACAUCUAAGUUGGAACAAAGGUUCACCGCUAUAGGAUGGGGAUGCGUCUGAUUAGCUUGUUGGCGGGGUAACGGCCCACCAAGGCAACGAUCAGUAGGGGUUCUGAGAGGAAGGUCCCCCACAUUGGUACUGAGACACGGACCAAACUCC
This 320-nucleotide ribosomal RNA is filed under the name uncultured Prevotella sp. RNAcentral describes it as "bacterial SSU rRNA". It matches the Rfam family "Bacterial small subunit ribosomal RNA", at positions 28 to 339 of the family's 1533-position model. The record is from RNAcentral. Lineage: Bacteria; Pseudomonadati; Bacteroidota; Bacteroidia; Bacteroidales; Prevotellaceae.